AUGUUUAGUUGGGACGCGAUACUUGCCAUCCUUUCACUAUCAUAGGAACAGGUUAGGGAGAGGGGAGACACCUGGCCUGUGGCAGCCAAGCGUUCAUAGCGACGCUCCUUUUUGAUCCUUCGAUGCCGGCUCUUCCUAUCAUAAUGAAGCAGAAUUCAGUAAGCGUUAGAUUGUUCACCCACUAACAGGGAACCGACCUUGGAUUAGCCCGUCGUCAGAAACGUUAGUUUAACGCUACUAAUGAAAUGUUGUUGCAAUAAUUGAACUCACGAGAGGAACCGUUCAUUCGGAUAAUUGGUAUUUGGGCCGGCCUGCAGGCAAUGGCCCGAAUCUAUCAUCCGUUGGGUUAUGGCUGAACGCUUCUAAGUCAGAAACCGUGCUAGAACGCGACGAUUACUGCCUUUUCCGAUUUUUAGUUGCAUACAGUAGAUCUUCAGAUCCUGAGUCAUACUACAAGGGGUUGACCUUGCAGAGCGGAAGGCUUUGUGAGGCUCCUGCCAAUGUUAAUCAAAUAUUGGAAGAGAUAAAUCCAUUGCAGACGACUUUAUUUGAGCGGGGUAUUGUAAGCAGUAGAGUAGCAGAUUUAAAAGGGAUGCAGAGAGCAAAAAUAGGAUGU
Molecule: non-coding RNA, 616 nt
Filed under: Linnemannia elongata AG-77
Lineage: Eukaryota; Fungi; Mortierellomycota; Mortierellomycetes; Mortierellales; Mortierellaceae
Description: Mortierella elongata AG-77 Eukaryotic large subunit ribosomal RNA
Rfam family: Eukaryotic large subunit ribosomal RNA
Source: Rfam by way of RNAcentral